UGGGGAAUUUUGGACAAUGGGCGAAAGCCUGAUCCAGCAAUGCCGCGUGUGUGAAGAAGGCCUUCGGGUUGUAAAGCACUUUUGUCCGGAAAGAAAUCCUUGGCUCUAAUACAGUCGGGGGAUGACGGUACCGGAAGAAUAAGCACCGGCUAACUACGUGCCAGCAGCCGCGGUAAUACGUAGGGUGCAAGCGUUAAUCGGAAUUACUGGGCGUAAAGCGUGCGCAGGCGGUUUGCUAAGACCGAUGUGAAAUCCCCGGGCUCAACCUGGGAACUGCAUUGGUGACUGGCAGGCUAGAGUAUGGCAGAGGGGGGUAGAAUUCCACGUGUAGCAGUGAAAUGCGUAGAGAUGUGGAGGAAUACCGAUGGCGAAGGCAGCCCCCUGGGCAAUACUGACGCUCAUGCACGAAAGCGUGGGGAGCAAACAGGAUUAGAUACCCUGGUAGUCCACGCCCUAAAACGAUGUCAACUAGUUGUUGGGGAUUCAUUUCCUUAGUAACGUAGCUAACGCGUGAAGUUGACCGCCUGGGGAGUACGGUCGCAAGAUUAAAACUCAAAU
Molecule: ribosomal RNA, 558 nt
Filed under: uncultured bacterium
Lineage: Bacteria
Description: partial 16S ribosomal RNA
Rfam family: Bacterial small subunit ribosomal RNA
Source: RNAcentral